Molecule: unclassified non-coding RNA, 1388 nt
Filed under: Oidiodendron sp. KO-groupD 2014
Lineage: Eukaryota; Fungi; Ascomycota; Leotiomycetes; Myxotrichaceae
Description: partial contains ITS1, 5.8S rRNA, ITS2 and LSU
Rfam family: Eukaryotic large subunit ribosomal RNA (bases 498-1388)
Source: RNAcentral
UCCGUAGGUGAACCUGCGGAGGGAUCAUUACAGAGUUCUCGCCCUCGCGGGUAGAUCUCCCACCCACUGUUAUUGCUACCGUGUUGCUUUGGCGGGCUGCUGGGCCUAGCCCGGCCGCCGGCUCCGGCUGGCGCGCGCCCGCCAGAGGCCCGACAAAUUCUGAUCGUCAGUGUCGUCUGAGUACUAUAUAAUAGUUAAAACUUUCAACAACGGAUCUCUUGGUUCUGGCAUCGAUGAAGAACGCAGCGAAAUGCGAUAAGUAAUGCGAAUUGCAGAAUUCAGUGAGUCAUCGAAUCUUUGAACGCACAUUGCGCCCUGUGGUAUUCCGCAGGGCAUGCCUGUUCGAGCGUCAUUUCAACCCUCAAGCUCUGCUUGGUGUUGGGCCCCGCCCGCUCGCGGCCGGCCCUAAAGACAGUGGCGGCAGCGUCUGGCUCCAAGCGUAGUACAGCUCUCGCUCUGGGGCUAGGCGGUAGCCUGCCAGAACCCCCUUCUAUGGUUGACCUCGGAUCAGGUAGGGAUACCCGCUGAACUUAAGCAUAUCAAUAAGCGGAGGAAAAGAAACCAACAGGGAUUGCCUCAGUAACGGCGAGUGAAGCGGCAACAGCUCAAAUUUGAAAUCUGGCCCUCUCAGGGUCCGAGUUGUAAUUUGGAGAAGAUGCUUCGGGUGCGGCGCCGGUCUAAGUUCCUUGGAACAGGACGUCACAGAGGGUGAGAAUCCCGUACGUGCCCGGUGGCCGCCCCAUGUGAAGCUCUUUCGACGAGUCGAGUUGUUUGGGAAUGCAGCUCAAAAUGGGUGGUAAAUUUCAUCUAAAGCUAAAUACUGGCCAGAGACCGAUAGCGCACAAGUAGAGUGAUCGAAAGAUGAAAAGCACUUUGGAAAGAGAGUUAAACAGUACGUGAAAUUGUUGAAAGGGAAGCGCUUGCAACCAGACUUGCGCGCAGUCGAUCAUCCGGUGCUCGCACCGGUGCACUCGGCCGCGCGCAGGCCAGCAUCGGCCUGGGUGGCUGGACAAAGGCCUCGGGAAUGUGGCUCUCUCCGGGGAGUGUUAUAGCCCGAGGCGCAAUGCAGCCCACCUGGUCCGAGGACCGCGCUCCGGCUAGGAUGCUGGCGUAAUGGUUGCAAGCGACCCGUCUUGAAACACGGACCAAGGAGUCUAACAUCUAUGCGAGUGUUUGGGUGCCAAACCCAUACGCGUAAUGAAAGUGAACGGAGGUGAGAACCCUGAAGGGCGCAUCAUCGACCGAUCCUGAUGUCUUCGGAUGGAUUUGAGUAAGAGCAUGGCUGUUGGGACCCGAAAGAUGGUGAACUAUGCCUGAAUAGGGUGAAGCCAGAGGAAACUCUGGUGGAGGCUCGCAGCGGUUCUGACGUGCAAAUCGAUCGUCAAAUU